GAUGAACGCUGGCGGCGUGCCUAAUACAUGCAAGUCGAGCGAACGGACGAGAAGCUUGCUUCUCUGAUGUUAGCGGCGGACGGGUGAGUAACACGUGGAUAACCUACCUAUAAGACUGGGAUAACUUCGGGAAACCGGAGCUAAUACCGGAUAAUAUUUUGAACCGCAUGGUUCAAAAGUGAAAGACGGUCUUGCUGUCACUUAUAGAUGGAUCCGCGCUGCAUUAGCUAGUUGGUAAGGUAACGGCUUACCAAGGCAACGAUGCAUAGCUGACCUGAGAGGAUGAUCGGCCACACUGGAACUGAGACACGGUCCAGACUCCUACGGGAGGCAGCAGUAGGGAAUCUUCCGCAAUGGGCGAAAGCCUGACGGAGCAACGCCGCGUGAGUGAUGAAGGUCUUCGGAUCGUAAAACUCUGUUAUUAGGGAAGAACAUAUGUGUAAGUAACUGUGCACAUCUUGACGGUACCUAAUCAGAAAGCCACGGCUAACUACGUG
This 497-nucleotide ribosomal RNA is filed under the name uncultured bacterium. RNAcentral describes it as "partial 16S ribosomal RNA". It matches the Rfam family "Bacterial small subunit ribosomal RNA", at positions 28 to 507 of the family's 1533-position model. The record is from RNAcentral.